Long non-coding RNA from Osmia bicornis bicornis, 1570 nucleotides. RefSeq lists it as uncharacterized. NCBI's taxonomy places the organism in Eukaryota, Metazoa, Arthropoda, Insecta, Hymenoptera, Megachilidae. The record is from RefSeq and is a predicted model, not a curated record. The transcript has 4 exons.
GCUUCCACGACGAAGACUUUGCCGAUCGCCUGUGUGAGUAUUUGUGGAGGAAAUUCUGCAAAUCUCACACAAUUCAUCUUAUGGAUUCCUUGAUCGCAGCAAUCAAGGAGCAAUACGUUUUCGAAUAAGGUAAGUUGAACUUAGUCACUUAAACGAACCAAUCAGAUGAUGGGUAGAAACAAUAUGGCGUCAUUCUAACCUCUGAAAUGUCACUAAAUACGUACAUUUUUAAACACUUGUAUUUCUUAAACUAUUGGUUUCCUGGACUUUUAACUUGGAUUUUCUAAAACUUCAGGUCAAAAACUACAAAAAAAAGGACCCCUUAAUUUGUGGUCCCCCAAAACGAAAUUUUACUUCUAUGUUUUCUCCAUAAGUCUUCUUUGCUUCUAAAUGUUUUAAUCCUUUUUCUAAUCAGCGUGAACAAUGGAAUAUUACAGUUGGAAUAUUAAACAUUUCAUUGAUGGGGAAAUUACAACCAAGAAAUGAUGGUGUAUCAAAGUUGAAUAGAUACAUUGAAGGUACUUUCCAGUGUAGAAUGAAAUACUAGGACGAACGACAAAGACGUACUCUGCAAACAGAUGCAAUUACUUUCUUGCAUGAUAUAUCUGGAAAUAUGUUUAAGUAUUUAUUCAGACAUUCAUGAGGAAAUUACAAGCAUAAAAUUAUGGAGCAGAAAAGUUGAAUAGAUUCAUUACAGAUAUUUUCCAGCAUGGAAUUAAAUACUAGGACAUAUAACAAAAACAUACUACGCAAGCAGAUGCAAUUAUUUUCUUGCAAGAUAUAUGUGGAAAUAUGUUUAAGGAUUCAUUCAGACAUUGAUGAGGAAUUUCCAACCAAAAAAUGAUGGAGUAGAAAAGUUGAAUAAUUUCUGCACUGUAUCUAUUUAAUACUUCUACUCCAUAAUAUCUCUGAUGCAAUUUUCCCCUCUGUUUACGAUUUUAUGACUGGCUGUUGCCGCAAUAUUAUGCCGCUAGUGAGUCGGGUUUUUAAAUAAAUGUGCUGCACUUUUGAGUAGGACACAGCUUAAUAAAUAUAAGAACCGCUUACCGCGGAGGUCGGUUUAUUACAGAUUACUGUUCGCGCAACACGUACAAACUUCAAAAAAUCACUGUAUUCGCUCGCCAAGGUUCGUCUAUAAUUGUUCUAAACGCCUUUGUUGUUCCGGCUGUUUUAUAGAUUCCGGUUGACACACGGAUUUGUUUCACGGAGCUCCCGUGCGCCAAUUAGGGGGCUCCGUGACCUUUUUAUUUCCAUAUUUGGUAAUAUGCUUUCGCGGCUGUCUGUGUGUGAGGGCCUGACACUCUCCGUGCCGGGCCGGAGAGCGGGGCGCGGAGGCCGGGGUCAGGCCUUUUUUCGUCUCCGCAUUCGACAGUUUUUUGCGGUUUAGCGCGAGACUAUUCUAGGACGGUUUUUAUUUCUUCCAAUUUGUUGAAACGUGUUUUCCGGCUCUGUAUUUUCUUGUUGUUAUAAUAAACGUUAAAUUUAAAUAUUAAUGAUUUUUUGUAACGCUUUCUUUCGUAAACACCCUCCGUGUCUAUUCAAACGCUGAAAAUAAAGAAGAAGAAAUCAU